UUAUGUGUGGUUCACAGACUCG
This 22-nucleotide non-coding RNA is filed under the name Rattus norvegicus (Norway rat). The record is from RNAcentral. Lineage: Eukaryota; Metazoa; Chordata; Mammalia; Rodentia; Muridae.